CCUACGGGAGGCAGCAGUAGGGAAUAUUGCUCAAUGGGCGUAACCCUGAAGCAGCAACGUCGCGUGGAGGAUGAAGGUUUUCUGAUUCGAAAACCUUUUUGUUAGAGAAGUUAAUUGUGGUAUGUGACCUGUAUUCUCUGUCUAACUCGGUUCCAGCUGCGGUGGCACCACGGAGGCAGCAAGCGUAACACGGAAUCACUGGGCGUAAACCGGGCGUAGGCGGGUUAGCAAGUCAGUUGUGAAAGCCUUUGGCUUAACCAUAGAAUUGCAGUUGAAACUGUUAGUCUAGAGUAUGUGUGAGGUAGGUGGAAUGCUUGGUGUAGGGGUAAAAUCCGUAGAGAUCAAGAAGAAUACUCAUUGCGAAGGCGACCUGCUAGGACAUAACUGACGCUGAUGCGCGAAAGCGUGGGGAGCAAACAGGAUUAGAUACCCCAGUAGUC
RNAcentral lists this ribosomal RNA (440 nucleotides) under uncultured bacterium. Its description in RNAcentral is "partial 16S ribosomal RNA". It matches the Rfam family "Bacterial small subunit ribosomal RNA", at positions 338 to 795 of the family's 1533-position model. The record is from RNAcentral.